UACGGAGGGUGCAAGCGUUAUCCGGAUUUACUGGGGUUAAAGGGCGCGUAGGCGGGUUCUCAAGUCUGUGGUGAAAUCCUCCGGCUCAACCGGAGAACUGCCUCGGAUACUGCGGGUCUCGAGGGUGAUAGGGGUAUGCGGAACUAUCGGUGGAGCGGUGAAAUGCGUUGAUAUCGAUAGGAACACCGGUGGCGAAGGCGGCAUCCUGGAUCACUUCUGACGCUGAGGCGCGAAAGCCAGGGGAGCAAACGGG
This 253-nucleotide ribosomal RNA is filed under the name uncultured bacterium. RNAcentral's name for it is "partial 16S ribosomal RNA". It matches the Rfam family "Bacterial small subunit ribosomal RNA", at positions 524 to 776 of the family's 1533-position model. The record is from RNAcentral.